GAAUCUGUAUUUUGGGUGAGGUUUUCCAAAGCCAGCAGAAGUAGUCUGGCUUUCCAAUUGUGCUGUUGGAAGUAAAACCACUGUGCAUUUCUAUGGGAGCUGUAUUCCAUGUGUUUUGCAAGCCCCGAUGUUUGCACAACAAUAGCAAUUUUCUAAAUGUUUCUGCUUCCCAAGGACCUCUAUCUAUCUGAAGAAACUUAAGAAACAAUCUGUUUGAAAUUUGGCAUGUCUGCUGAGUGAGAAAUGCCAGCGACUCUCCCAUGGCAAUAUACCGAGCUGACACCAGUAUAUUGCAGGAUCUUUGGAGAGACUGAAUAACAGGGUCUUACCAUGUGGCGAGUGGGAAUUUGCACAGGUGGGAGAGGAGUGCCAUCAUCUGAGGUCAAAUCUACACCCUGUUUACUUCAAUGUAGCAAUGCAUGUUGAGUAUGACAAGCAGAAUUGGGCUCGAUGUCUAACUAUUGAUUCUACUUGACAUUCAAUUAUCAAGACAUAGUUAAAUUCCACACAAGAAAAAGUCAGCACAACUAAUUAAGGAUAAUUUUGUUCUAAUCCAAAUAUUGGUCUAGAUGAUUCUCUCUGCUCUUUGUACAUAUUUGCAAAAAUAUUUAUUUUGUUCCAUUAUGGUUAACCUCUGAAGGCAGAGGCUGGGUUAGAAGUCAGCUGAUAAAGUGUACCCUUUCUGCAUGACCCAGAAGAGAAAUGGGAUUGUUACAUUCAUGGUAUCUGUCGUCUUUCCCUCUGGAAGGUGCCAUAAAUUCAACAUUGUUACUUAACCACAGCAUCACAGAGAAGGAGCAGAUGGGUUUCUGAGGGAGAAAAAUCAUCAUUUAGUGUUUAAAAACAUAUCUUUUUUAAUCAGAAACUAUGUCUGGAAAAAUGAUGAAAACAGGUAAAUAGCUACUUGUUAUAAUAGGCCAUAUUAAAACUCCCUGAAGUGAGUUAAGACAAUUUAUUUUAUCACUGAAUUGUGCUUUAAUGUAGGCUCCCAUAAAAACUGACUUAGACUUUUACACUGACUUGAGAGGAGUAUAUGCUAUGUUCAAUAACCCCUGUCAAAUAAAGGUAUGAACCUAAUUAAGCAAUAAAUCCAUAAAAAUUGUUACAGACAGUUAGUGAGUGGCUGGGAUUUUUAUAACAGCAAUAGAUUUUUAAAAAAGCAUUAGCUGUUAUAAUAUGGCUGGAGUAGUUGUACCGAUAAAUUAGUCAUUCUGGCAUUUCAUGACUAAUUUUAAUCACUCAGAGCUUCAGAGGUGUGCUUGGUUUAGAAUUCAUGCUAUUAUUCUUAAAUUCAGCAAAAAAAGUUAACCUAAAUAUCUGUCCAUAUUUGUAAGAUACUAACUGUAAAAAAAUAUUUAGUUUUUCCUGUUAAAGCUAUUGUUCUCAACACCACCACCAUCUCUGACUGAAAGAGAUCUGGGUUUAAUACCAGCAAGUUGAUACUGAAAUCACCAGUUUAUAGUUACAAAUUGUCACGUCAGCUUUUUUAACAAGAGUCAAAUAAAGAGGCAGCUCUGUGUAAUGUCUUAAUUUCAGGAAUAUGACAUUAGUUUCACCCAUAUACUCUGAUAUGAGUAAGUCAGCAAUAUGUCUAAACCUUAGUUCAAAAUUUGAAUUAAAUCAAAGGCAGAGCAUUAGUAGGAUUCUUUCCCUGCCCUGCCCUCCCCUCUUCUCUAAUUUAAUGACUAGAUGGGAUAGCUUGCUGCUCCUCUUUUGUUUUUUCUUUGUUUUUUAGGAAAACCUAUUAUUAUGGGCCUUUUCUUGUUGCGUGCUAAUCACAUUGAGCAGCACACACCUCCUGUUUAUUUCCCUGGCAAGCAGGGAAUUGCACACACUGCAGAUAGUGGAUUCCUCAUUUCUAGCACUAGCCAAUCUAACAGUCUUAGGGAAGCUGGAGACUACCAUCAGGGGCCCAAGAGGUGAUAGUCAGUUUGGGGCUAAUGACCUCCUCUGGGGUCAUGAACAGAAUUAGGUAAGUGAGAGUGGCUGCUGGUAGUUAGCAAGGGAGGGAGGAAGAUGGUUGCAGGCAGACAGAGAAUCAGAAGCAGCCCUGAGGAUUAUGCAGUCUCACAUCAGAGCAGACUUCACUGUUAAAUGACAAUUGUGUUUAGACCAGCAAACGUCUGUGAUGAAACUUCUCUAUUGUUCUGGGCUGACACAGUACUGUCUUUCCUAAAAUAGUAUUUCGGAUGUUGUUUUAUGUUAAUCAUAUGCCUUUAAGCCACUGCUUAAUGGAAUAAAGGACACCAAGCAAUAAUUCAAAAGCUGUAAAAAUGAAUGUCACAUAACCUAUGGUAUGUCUAUUCCUGCAAUACUUUCAACAGUGAGGAAAAACCAGGUGGUGUUUUUAUUUCUACCAGAUAAACAUAUGCAGCUGGUUUAGUAUGUGAUCUUAAAUAUAUGUAUGUGACUUGUACCUGUAGUAAUAUGCUUAGUAAUAAUACUUUAUACCCCUGCAGCACAUUUCAGAUGGAGAUAUAAAU
Aquila chrysaetos chrysaetos is the source of this 2483-nucleotide long non-coding RNA. RefSeq lists it as uncharacterized. The record is from RefSeq and is a predicted model, not a curated record. The transcript is spliced from 3 exons. Lineage: Eukaryota; Metazoa; Chordata; Aves; Accipitriformes; Accipitridae.